This 353-nucleotide long non-coding RNA is filed under the name Manihot esculenta (cassava). RNAcentral describes it as "long non-coding RNA (MESC_LNC000324)". The record is from RNAcentral. Lineage: Eukaryota; Viridiplantae; Streptophyta; Magnoliopsida; Malpighiales; Euphorbiaceae.
UGAGAUUCAGGCCAGUGUCCGAUGAGGGUAGAUGCCUUCCACCCGUGCAUGAGGUCCUAGACUUGAGUGUCUGGAUGUCAGCCGGGGGAUGGAUUGGUUUUCUACUUGUGGAGCUGGUGAUACUUGCGUCUGCAGCGCCAGGUGGUCGGGAUCGAAAUGCAGAGUGGGUCCGAGGUAGACUUCAGAGGGGACCAAGUAGAAUGCCUAGAAGUUUGAUGUCAGCUGUCAGGCUCGUAGAGUGUAUAGGAAUGGUUAGUAGAGAGUUUUAGUUGAGUUUGAGAGGGCAGCAGGCAGGUCUAGGAACCAGCCCUGGUGCCAUAGAUAGAGCGAGUGUUCAGAGGUUUCAGGCUAGU